GCCCGCGGGGCCAUGGGGCGCCGCCGCCCCGGGCCGAACGCGGCGCUCGGCGGUGCUGGCGGGGCCCGGCAGGAGGUGCUGUCGCUCCGCGGAUGGCGCAACAAUCUGCUCUCUGGAAAUUGCUGCAAUGCUUGUCAAAAGUCACUGUUUUAUCCCAUAAUUUUCUACAAGGAGCCAGCAAGAAGAACACAGUGGAGGCCAAGCCAGCAGCAGUCCUCCUGAACUUCAGACUGGAUUCAUUUAGUGGAUUGGAACUCCUAGGUAUUUUGUGCUUCACAGUACACCUCUUCAGAGAAGUGGGAAUCUUAAGCUUGAAAGACUCCUGAGGCAAAUGGUAUUUCAGUCUCAUUGAAAUCCAGUGAGGCACCAAGCACUGAACAAAAACCCCCCAGAAAUUACAGAAGAAAUAACAGGAGAGACUUGAAAUCACCUGAAUCAAUAGGAGUUCUUACCCUGCCCUGCAGAUAGGAAUUAAGGCUGAUCAGGACAUACUCUUUGUCCUAGUACUACUCUGAAACAAAGAAAGAUGAGGACUGGAAUUGCAGAUUCAGAGAAGGCAAGUUAUAAAAUACUUUACAAUCUGAAGCGGUAGAAUAAAUACAAUGUGGAAAACAUUUAGAAGACUUCCAGAAUUGCUGCAUGAUGUCCUUCAAUAUUUUGUUUGGCUUUCAUUUUACAGUCAUUUUGCAAAUAUGUAGUGCAUAAAAUGUAUCAUUAUCACCUAACUAACAUACUUUAUUAGGUAUGUAAUUUUGUUCUUCCAUCAAAAUAGAAUGUAUCUUAUCCGGCUAGAAUAUAACUGCUCAAUCUGCAUUAGAUCCAGAAUGAGUGGAUUUGUGGCUUUUUUCCUGCGAUCAUGUUUUUUUAAGUUCAACUGUCCAGAUCUCUCAAAACAUUUUUCUGCUUUAUUCAAUAAAUGACGUCAUUCUAUCUAUCCUAAGAAGUUACAUCACGAACAUUUUUGUGCCCUGGAAGAGAAAGAUGAAAUGUCUUUGAAAGCUAGCAAGAAUCUACUAUUCUUGCAUAGACAUUUAAUCACACACAGUUAAAAACCUACAUUAAAUGCCAAAACUUACAUCACUUUAGCUUUUGAUGUUGUAAGUCCAAACUUGUACCUCACAAAAAAUGUAGAAUUUAGAGACAUUUACAGAAAAGUAAUUUUAUUUUCCCUAAGGUUUCUUUCUUGCCGGUGUCUUCCAGGCUGGUGAACAUUGCUCAAAGAUUGCAAAAAACUGAUUCAAGAAUAAGUCUUUCUGUGGGUUAAUUCCUAGUCCUCAUUCUUGCAGGGUGGGCUGGUUUUGAAUUUUUGUUUGCUUUCUUAUUUUUGAAGUACACAGGUACAGUCCAAAUUCAGAGACAGAAGUCUCCCUACUUAUAAAUUAGAGGAUCUUCUUGCAUGUUCAAUAAUACCCUUCAAGGCAUGAGAAGUAUUUAAUACUUGUGUUCCUUUUUCAUAUUUGUUGUU
Poecile atricapillus (Black-capped chickadee) is the source of this 1465-nucleotide long non-coding RNA. RefSeq lists it as uncharacterized. The record is from RefSeq and is a predicted model, not a curated record. The transcript has 6 exons. NCBI's taxonomy places the organism in Eukaryota, Metazoa, Chordata, Aves, Passeriformes, Paridae.